RNAcentral lists this ribosomal RNA (492 nucleotides) under uncultured bacterium. Its description in RNAcentral is "partial 16S ribosomal RNA". It matches the Rfam family "Bacterial small subunit ribosomal RNA", at positions 30 to 507 of the family's 1533-position model. The record is from RNAcentral.
AUUGAACGCUGGCGGCAUGCUUUACACAUGCAAGUCGAACGGUAACAGGCCUUCGGGUGCUGACGAGUGGCGAACGGGUGAGUAAUGCAUCGUAACGUACCCAGAGGUUUGGGUUAACGCAUCGAAAGCUGUUCUAAUACCUCAUUUGAUCUGAGGAUGAAAGCGGGGGACCGUGCAGCAAUGUUUCGCCUCGCGCCUUUGGAGCGGCCGAUGUCGGAUUAGCUAGUUGGUGUGGUAAAGUCCUACCAAGUCGACGAUCCGUAGCUGGUCUGAGAGGACGACCAGACACACGGGGAGUGAGAAACGGCAAAGACACAUACGGGAGGCAGCAGUGGGGAAUUUUGGACAAUGGGCGAAAGCCUGAUCCAGCAAUGCAGCGUGAGGGAAGAAGGCCUUCGGGUUGUAAACCGAUUUUGGCAGGAAAGAAAAGGUGUCCGCUAAUACCGGGCGCUAAUGACGGUACCUGCAGAAUAAGCAACGGCUAACUACGUG